AGAAACUUAGGUUAAAUAUAAACCAAGGGCCUUCAAAGCCCUAAAUAAGAGAACAGACUCCUAGUUUCUG
This 70-nucleotide transfer RNA is filed under the name Hoplodactylus sp. Central Otago. RNAcentral describes it as "tRNA-Trp". It matches the Rfam family "tRNA". Rfam says of the family: Transfer RNA (tRNA) molecules are approximately 80 nucleotides in length. The record is from RNAcentral. Lineage: Eukaryota; Metazoa; Chordata; Lepidosauria; Squamata; Diplodactylidae.